RNAcentral lists this ribosomal RNA (1390 nucleotides) under Bacillus licheniformis. RNAcentral describes it as "16S ribosomal RNA". It matches the Rfam family "Bacterial small subunit ribosomal RNA", at positions 60 to 1437 of the family's 1533-position model. Lineage: Bacteria; Bacillati; Bacillota; Bacilli; Caryophanales; Bacillaceae. The record is from RNAcentral.
AGUCGAGCGGACGACGGGAGCUUGCUCCCUUAGGUCAGCGGCGGACGGGUGAGUAACACGUGGGUAACCUGCCUGUAAGACUGGGAUAACUCCGGGAAACCGGGGCUAAUACCGGAUGCUUGAUUGAACCGCAUGGUUCAAUCAUAAAAGGUGGCUUUUAGCUACCACUUACAGAUGGACCCGCGGCGCAUUAACUAGUUGGUGAGGUAACGGCUCACCAAGGCGACCAUGCGUAACCCACCUGAGAGGGUGAUCGGCCACACUGGGACUGAAACACGGCCCAAACUCCUACGGGAGGCAGCAGUAGGGAAUCUUCCGCAAUGGACGAAAGUCUGACGGAACAACCCCGCGUGAGUGAUGAAGGUUUUCGGAUCGUAAAACUCUGUUGUUAGGGAAGAACAAGUACCGUUCGAAUAGGGCGGUACCUUGACGGUACCUAACCAGAAAGCCACGGCUAACUACGUGCCAGCAGCGCGGUAAUAGUAGGUGGCAGCUUUGUCCGGAAUUAUUGGGCGUAAAGCGCGCGCAGGCGGUUUCUUAAGUCUGAUGUGACAGCCCCCGGCUCAACCGGGGAGGGUCAUUGGAAACUGGGGAACUUGAGUGCAGAAGAGGAGAGUGGAAUUCCACGUGUAGCGGUGAAAUGCGUAGAGAUGUGGAGGAACACCAGUGGCGAAGGCGACUCUCUGGUCUGUAACUGACGCUGAGGCGCGAAAGCGUGGGGAGCGAACAGGAUUAGAUACCCUGGUAGUCCACGCCGUAAACGAUGAGUGCUAAGUGUUAGAGGGUUUCCGCCCUUUAGUGCUGCAGCAAACGCAUUAAGCACUCCGCCUGGGGAGUACGGUCGCAAGACUGAAACUCAAAGGAAUUGACGGGGGCCCGCACAAGCGGGGAGCAUGUGGUUUAAUUCGAAGCAACGCGAAGAACCUUACCAGGUCUUGACAUCCUCUGACAACCCUAGAGAUAGGGCUUCCCCUUCGGGGGCAGAGUGACAGGUGGUGCAUGGUUGUCGUCAGCUCGUGUCGUGAGAUGUUGGGUUAAGUCCCGCAACGAGCGCAACCCUUGAUCUUAGUUGCCAGCAUUCAGUUGGGCACUCUAAGGUGACUGCCGGUGACAAACCGGAGGAAGGUGGGGAUGACGUCAAAUCAUCAUGCCCCUUAUGACCUGGGCUACACACGUGCUACAAUGGGCAGAACAAAGGGCAGCGAAGCCGCGAGGCUAAGCCAAUCCCACAAAUCUGUUCUCAGUUCGGAUCGCAGUCUGCAACUCGACUGCGUGAAGCUGGAAUCGCUAGUAAUCGCGGAUCAGCAUGCCGCGGUGAAUACGUUCCCGGGCCUUGUACACACCGCCCGUCACACCACGAGAGUUUGUAACACCCGAAGUCGGUGAGGUA